AGAGUUUGAUCCUGGCUCAGAACGAACGCUGGCGGCGUGGAUAAGACAUGCAAGUCGAGCGAUUACUAGUUGGUAGCAAUAUCGGCUAGUGAGAGCGGCGCAAGGGUGCGUAACACGUGGGCAAUCUACCGUGAAGUUUGGGAUAAUCCCGCGAAAGCGGGACUAAUACCGGAUGUGACAACUGGGAGGCAUCUCUUGGUUGUCAAAGUUGGGGACCGUAAGGCCUGACGCUUCAUGAUGAGCCCGCGGCCUAUCAGGUAGUUGGCGGGGUAACGGCCCACCAAGCCUAAGACGGGUAGCUGGUCUGAGAGGACGACCAGCCACACUGGAACUGAGACACGGUCCAGACACCUACGGGUGGCAGCAGUCGAGAAUUUUUCACAAUGGGCGAAAGCCUGAUGGAGCGACGCCGCGUGGGGGAUGAAUGGCUUCGGCCCGUAAACCCCUGUCAUUCGCGAUCAAACCUUAUCAUUUAAAAGAUGAUGAGCUGAUAGUAGCGGAAGAGGAAGGGACGGCUAACUCUGUGCCAGCAGCCGCGGUAAUACAGAGGUCCCAAGCGUUGUUCGGAUUCACUGGGCGUAAAGGGUGCGUAGGUGGUGAGGUGUGUCGGAUGUGAAAGCUCGGAGCUCAACUCCGAAAUGGCAUUGGAAACUACCUUGCUAGAGGGUUGGAGGGGGGACUGGAAUACUUGGUGUAGCGGUGAAAUGCGCAGAUAUCAGGAGGAACACCGAUGGCGAAGGCAGGUCUCUGGGCCAUAACUGACGCUGAGAAGCGAAAGCAUGGGGAGCGAACAGGAUUAGAUACCCUGGUAGUCCAUGCCGUAAACGUUGGGCGCUAGGUGUGGGGCUCAUUCCACGGGUUCUGCGCCGCAGCUAACGCAUUAAGCGCCCCGCCUGGGGAGUACGGCCGCAAGGCUAAAACUCAAAGGAAUUGACGGGGGCCCGCACAAGCGGCGGAGCAUGCGGAUUAAUUCGAUGCAACGCGAAGAACCUUACCAAGGCUUGACAUACGCCGGAAACACGCAGAGAUGUGUGCCCCGUAAGGUCGGUGUACAGGUGGUGCAUGGUUGUCGUCAGCUCGUGUCGUGAGAUGUUGGGUUAAGUCCCGCAACGAGCGCAACCCUCGUUCCAUGUUGCCAGCACGUAGUGGUGGGGACUCAUGGGAGACUGCCGGGGUCAACUCGGAGGAAGGUGGGGAUGAGGUCAAAUCAUCAUGCCCCUUAUGUCUUGGGCUUCACGCAUGCUACAAUGGCCAGUACAAAGGGCUGCGAUACCGUAAGGUGGAGCGAAUCCCAAAAAACUGGUCUCAGUUCGGAUUGGGGUCUGCAACUCGACCCCAUGAAGUCGGAGUCGCUAGUAAUCGCAGAUCAGCAACGCUGCGGUGAAUACGUUCCCGGGCCUUGUACACACCGCCCGUCAAGUCACGAAAGUUGGUAACACCCGAAGCCGGUGGCCUAACCCUUUUGGGGAGGAGCCGUCGAAGGUGGGACUGGCGAUUGGGACUAAGUCGUAACAAGGUAACC
This 1522-nucleotide ribosomal RNA is filed under the name uncultured bacterium. RNAcentral's name for it is "bacterial SSU rRNA". It matches the Rfam family "Bacterial small subunit ribosomal RNA". The record is from RNAcentral.